Molecule: unclassified non-coding RNA, 362 nt
Filed under: soil metagenome
Description: partial contains 5.8S ribosomal RNA, internal transcribed spacer 2, and large subunit ribosomal RNA
Rfam family: 5.8S ribosomal RNA (bases 4-121)
Source: RNAcentral
GAUUGAAGAACGCAGCGAAAUGCGAUAAGUAAUGUGAAUUGCAGAAUUCAGUGAAUCAUCGAAUCUUUGAACGCACAUUGCGCCCGGUAGUAAUCUGCCGGGCAUGCCUGUCCGAGCGUCAUUUCAACCCUCGAACCACUAUUCGCGUAGCUGGAUCGGUGUUGGGGCACUACGGUGGAAUACCCGUAGGCCCCGAAAUGAAGUGGCGGUCCCGCCGCGGCGCCCCCAUGCGUAGUAACAUCUCGUCUCGCAUCGGGUCCCGGCGGAGGCCUGCCGUCAAGCCUAUUUUCUAAUUACAGAUGGUUUGACCUCGGAUCAGGUAGGGUUACCCGCUGAACUUAAGCAUAUCAAUAAGCGGAGGA